Molecule: ribosomal RNA, 456 nt
Filed under: Anaerococcus sp.
Lineage: Bacteria; Bacillati; Bacillota; Tissierellia; Tissierellales; Peptoniphilaceae
Description: partial 23S ribosomal RNA
Rfam family: Bacterial large subunit ribosomal RNA
Source: RNAcentral
ACGGAUAAAAGCUACCCCGGGGAUAACAGGCUUAUCUCCCCCAAGAGUCCACAUCGACGGGGAGGUUUGGCACCUCGAUGUCGGCUCGUCUCAUCCUGGGGCUGAAGUAGGUCCCAAGGGUUGGGCUGUUCGCCCAUUAAAGAGGCACGCGAGCUGGGUUCAGAACGUCGUGAGACAGUUCGGUCCCUAUCCAGCGUGGGCGUAAGAAAUUUGCGAGGACCUGUCCUUAGUACGAGAGGACCGGGAUGGACAUACCACUGGUGUACCAGUUGUUCCGCCAGGAGCAUAGCUGGGUAGCUAAGUAUGGAAUUGAUAAGUACUGAAAGCAUCUAAGUACGAAACAACCCUCAAGAUAAGAUUUCUAAAAGUACGUAAAGAAAAUACGUUAGAUAGGUCCAAGGUGUAAGUGCAGUAAUGCAUUAAGCUAAUGGAUACUAAACUUUAAAUCUUGACUGG